GACGAACGCUGGCGGCGUGCUUAACACAUGCAAGUCGAACGGUGAAGCGCCUUCCUUUUUGGUGGGUGGGGAGGAGUGGCGAAGGGGUGAGUAACACGUGAGUAACCUGCCCCCUCCUGCUGGACAACCGCAUGAAAGUGUGGCUAAUACAGGAUAUUCUGGGUCUGUCGCAUGAUGGGUCUGGGACGGAUAUUGUGUCGGUGGGAGAUGGGCCCGCGGCCUAUCAGCUUGUUGGUGGGGUGAUGGCCUACCAAGGCGGUGACGGGUAGCCGGCCUGAGAGGGUCGACCGCCACGCUGGUGAUGCGACACGGACCAGACUCCGGCGGGAGGCAGCAGUGGAGAUUCGUGCACGGUGGGCGGAAGGCUGAUGCAGCGACGCCGCGGGAGGGAUGGAGGCCGUCGGGUUGUGCUCCGCUUUCGCCAGUGAAGCAGGCCUGCCUCGUUUGUGGGUGGGUUGACGGUAGCUGGAUAAGAAGCGCCGGCUAACUACGUG
RNAcentral lists this ribosomal RNA (494 nucleotides) under uncultured bacterium. RNAcentral describes it as "partial 16S ribosomal RNA". It matches the Rfam family "Bacterial small subunit ribosomal RNA", at positions 28 to 507 of the family's 1533-position model. The record is from RNAcentral.